Molecule: long non-coding RNA, 201 nt
Organism: Gossypium arboreum
Lineage: Eukaryota; Viridiplantae; Streptophyta; Magnoliopsida; Malvales; Malvaceae
Exons: 2
Source: RefSeq, a predicted model, not a curated record
CACAGCUACUUCUUCCACAUCUGCUCCACCCCUCACCAGGAGGUGAAAGCGGAGGCGCUGACAAGAUUGCUUUGUCAGGAAUCAUCACUUUGUUCUUAUGUUUAGCAUCUAUAAUUGUGUACUAUGGUAACGUAUUUCCUACAUGAGCUAAAGUGGAAUUUCAUCUUAGACCAAAUAAUAAAGAGACCAUUUAGAUCUAGA